This 491-nucleotide long non-coding RNA is filed under the name Heterocephalus glaber (naked mole-rat). Its description in RNAcentral is "lncRNA (ENSHGLG00000030163.2)". The record is from RNAcentral. Lineage: Eukaryota; Metazoa; Chordata; Mammalia; Rodentia; Bathyergidae.
CAAGAGCAGGUUUGCUGUCAGCGCAGCCUCCUCUUGCCACUGUCUCCUCAUGCUUGCUCACUUGCCCUUCCGGCCCAUUAUUACACAGCAAGGAGGCUCUCACCAGAUGCUGAACAGAUGCCAGUGCCAUGCUCUUGGACUUCCUGCCCUCUAGGAUUGUGAGCCAAAAUUUCUUCCCUUGGGUUUAGGGGCCAGCUAGACAAACGCACCAAGACCACACACAGAUUCUAAGACAACAGGAGCAUGUGUGAAGGCACGAAUAGCCAGGAGGGCAGAGCUCUAGUGCCUCCAGCACCAAGGCUUGGGAGUUACAGACUCCCAGAGUGCCGGGAUGACAGGCCCGUGCCACCACAUCCAGCAAGAACCAGAACACAAGUAGCUCCUGGACAAAGAUCUCCAACUCCAUCUUUCCUCUCAUAUUUCUCAAAACAUUCAAAUAGAUGACCAAUUUUUCCCAGAUGACUAGACAACUAGACACAACAAAAGCAGCC